This 497-nucleotide ribosomal RNA is filed under the name uncultured bacterium. Its description in RNAcentral is "partial 16S ribosomal RNA". It matches the Rfam family "Bacterial small subunit ribosomal RNA", at positions 28 to 507 of the family's 1533-position model. The record is from RNAcentral.
GAUGAACGCUGGCGGCGUGCCUAAUACAUGCCAGUCGAGCGAACAGACGAGGAGCUUGCUCCUCUGACGUUAGCGGCGGACGGGUGAGUAACACGUGGAUAACCUACCUAUAAGACUGGGAUAACUUCGGGAAACCGGAGCUAAUACCGGAUAAUAUAUUGAACCGCAUGGUUCAAUAGUGAAAGGCGGUUUUGCUGUCGCUUAUAGAUGGAUCCGCGCCGCAUUAGCUAGUUGGUAAGGUAACGGCUUACCAAGGCAACGAUGCGUAGCCGACCUGAGAGGGUGAUCGGCCACACUGGAACUGAGACACGGUCCAGACUCCUACGGGAGGCAGCAGUAGGGAAUCUUCCGCAAUGGGCGAAAGCCUGACGGAGCAACGCCGCGUGAGUGAUGAAGGUCUUCGGAUCGUAAAACUCUGUUAUUAGGGAAGAACAAAUGUGUAAGUAACUAUGCACGUCUUGACGGUACCUAAUCAGAAAGCCACGGCUAACUACGUG